This 406-nucleotide unclassified non-coding RNA is filed under the name Hevea brasiliensis (rubber tree). The record is from RNAcentral. Lineage: Eukaryota; Viridiplantae; Streptophyta; Magnoliopsida; Malpighiales; Euphorbiaceae.
AUAAAGAUAAGAAAGAGAGAGAAAAUAAAGGGGCAAAAUGAUAAUUUUAUUUUUAAAAGAGAAUGGCAAAAGGAUAAUUUUAUCGUUUUUGACAUGAAAACCUGUUAUUGCACGUUAGAGGGAUUUUUGUAAAAUGAAACUAAAGUUAAGAAAUUUUAUAGUAACAAAUUGAAGAUGAGAGACAAAAGUGAAACAACCCUCAAAGUGAAGGGACAAUCAAUAAAAAUUACCCCUUUUCGUUCCUAGACUUUCAUGUUUGAAAUUAUUUGGAUUUCACUCUCUAUUAGGUUAUAAAUAAAUGAAGAUAACCCUAAAUCUUAUCAAUGAACAUGAAAUUAAAAUGUGAGAAGAUGUAGAUCAUUUCUUAGACUUGUUUAAUAAUUUAUAUUCUCUUCAGAAAAAAAAA